This 717-nucleotide long non-coding RNA is filed under the name Bos indicus x Bos taurus (hybrid cattle). RNAcentral describes it as "lncRNA (ENSBIXG00005030895.1)". Lineage: Eukaryota; Metazoa; Chordata; Mammalia; Artiodactyla; Bovidae. The record is from RNAcentral.
UGUCCAUGGGAUUCUCCAGGCAAGAAUACUGGAGUGGGUUGCCAUUCACUUCUCCACGGGAUCGUCUCGACCCAGGGAUCUAACCCAGGUCUCUUGCACUGCAGGCAGAAUCUUUGCCCACUGAGCCACCUGGGAAGCCCUGCAAAAUACUUUUAUACAAGUCUGCUAAGAAGGUUGUCAAUUUCAAAACCACGGAAUGGGAAGGAGGACGUGAAAUUAGAACUGGCUAUCAAAACACUCCCCAAAGUGGACUUGAGGGACACUUUGGGAAAGGGUACAAUAAGACCCCUAAUGUUUAUUGCUCCCACUGCAAAGAAUACAAUUAAGGUCCCUUAAUGUUUAUUGUUCCAGCCUGAAAGAACACCAUUAAGUCUGAAGCAUCACCUGAUGGCAUCCUCAUCCAGCCACACUCCUUGAGCACAGAUGGGACAUUAUGUAACACAAAGAGAGCUGGGUUGCUCACCUGGCUGCAUUCGAAGAACCCUGUCAAGAACUUUUCUUUAAACAAAUCCAGUAGCAAGAUAAUAUGGCAGCCCACCUCCCCCAUCUGCCAACAUCCUGUAAGCUCUGUGGCAACAUGAACAGAACUGAAUCAAUAUUCAUGAUUCCUGUUUUUUGGAGGAAAAAAAUGAAAGAAAGAAUUAAAAAAAAAAACACACUAUAUGUUCUGCUGUAUUAGUAUGUCUAAUGAGAAUAAAUUAAAACCCAGAUGAGACA